Molecule: ribosomal RNA, 253 nt
Filed under: uncultured bacterium
Lineage: Bacteria
Description: partial 16S ribosomal RNA
Rfam family: Bacterial small subunit ribosomal RNA
Source: RNAcentral
UACGGGAAGGGCAAGCGUUGUUCGGAAUUACUGGGCGUAAAGGGCUCGUAGGUGGCCAACUAAGUCAGACGUGAAAUCCCUCAGCUUAACUGGGGAACUGCGUCUGAUACUGGAUGGCUUGAGUUUGGGAGAGGGAUGCGGAAUUCCAGGUGUAGCGGUGAAAUGCGCAGAUAUCAGGAGGAACACCGGUGGCGAAGGCGGGUCUCUGGGCCGAUACUGACGCUGAGGAGCGAAAGCGUGGGGAGCGAACAGG